This 190-nucleotide unclassified non-coding RNA is filed under the name uncultured fungus. Its description in RNAcentral is "sequence contains ITS1, 5.8S rRNA gene". Lineage: Eukaryota; Fungi. The record is from RNAcentral.
CCCUAUACCAUCGGGGGGUCGGCGUUGGAGGUUGCGGCACCCAUCAGGGGAAGCCCUCUCUCCUUCCCGCCCUGUCUGGAUAUACCCAUGAUUUUUGCGUACCCAUUGUUUCCUCGGCAGGCUUGCUUGCCAGUAGGACAUUUUUCAACCUUUUGUAAUUGCAGUCAGUGUCAGAAAAACUUAAUAGUUA